Molecule: transfer RNA, 51 nt
Filed under: Phyllocoptes taishanensis
Lineage: Eukaryota; Metazoa; Arthropoda; Arachnida; Trombidiformes; Eriophyidae
Description: tRNA-Arg
Source: RNAcentral
AUUAGCUACUUCUCAAAUUUCGAACUUGAAUCACAAAGCUUUAAGCGUAGU